Molecule: small nucleolar RNA, 120 nt
Organism: Ictidomys tridecemlineatus (thirteen-lined ground squirrel)
Lineage: Eukaryota; Metazoa; Chordata; Mammalia; Rodentia; Sciuridae
Product: small nucleolar RNA, H/ACA box 32
Source: Ensembl
UGGUCAUUACCAAGGCUUUUUGAAUACAGUUUCUUAUUUGCUGUGGACAUGACCAUAAAAUAAUUCCCUCUAGGUUUUCUAUCUGCUACUUUGCUAGCAUUCAACCCAUUGGGAACAUUC